GACGAACGCUGGCGGCGUGCUUAACACAUGCAAGUCGAACGGAAAGGCACUGCUUUUGUGCGGCGCACGAGUGGCGAACGGGUGAGUAACACGUGAGUAACCUGCCCCUGACUUUGGGAUAACUUCAGGAAACUGGGGCUAAUACCGGAUAGGAGCUCCUGCUGCAUGUUGUGCGUUGGAAAAUUACGGCGGUUGGGGAUGGACUCGCGGCUUAUCAGCUUGUUGGUGGGGUAGUGGCUUACCAAGGCUUCGACGGGUAGCCGGCCUGAGAGGGUGACCGGCCACAUUGGGACUGAGAUACGGCCCAGACUCCUACGGGAGGCAGCAGUGGGGAAUAUUGCACAAUGGGCGGAAGCCUGAUGCAGCAACGCCGCGUGCGGGAUGACGGCCUUCGGGUUGUAAACCGCUUUCGCCUGUGACGAAGCGUGAGUGACGGUAAUGGGUAAAAAAGCACCGGCUAACUACGUG
RNAcentral lists this ribosomal RNA (468 nucleotides) under uncultured bacterium. RNAcentral describes it as "partial 16S ribosomal RNA". It matches the Rfam family "Bacterial small subunit ribosomal RNA", at positions 28 to 507 of the family's 1533-position model. The record is from RNAcentral.